This is a non-coding RNA of Pelobates cultripes (western spadefoot toad), 331 nucleotides long. Lineage: Eukaryota; Metazoa; Chordata; Amphibia; Anura; Pelobatidae. The record is from the annotation of a GenBank genome assembly.
UUUUUAUUGGGAUAGCCCCCCAAAUAUUGGGACAUAUAAAAAAAGACAACUCUGUUCCGCAGAGUAGCUGUUGACAUUAUAGUUGCGCAGGCACUUUGUUGACUCUAGAGAACCUCGGGCCAAUCGCACAUCCCCGUGGCGGCGACUUUGCAUGCGGAUGUCAUCCAUAUCAACUUUCGAUGCCAGUUUCUGCGCCUACCAUGGUGACCACGGGUAACGGGGAAUCAGGGUUCCAUUCCAUACAGGGACCCUGAGAAACGGCUACCACAUGCAAGGAAGUCAGCAGGCACGCAAAUGACCCACUUCCAACGCGGGAAGGUAGUGAAGAAAA